Small nucleolar RNA from Nycticebus coucang (slow loris), 141 nucleotides. RefSeq annotates it as small nucleolar RNA SNORA4. The record is from RefSeq and is a predicted model, not a curated record. The transcript has a single exon. NCBI's taxonomy places the organism in Eukaryota, Metazoa, Chordata, Mammalia, Primates, Lorisidae.
UGACCAAAAGUUAAUUUGGUGGGGGAAGGUUGUAUUAAAUAACCUUUACCAAGUUGGGCUGUUUGGGAGAGUAAACAAGACCACACUCCACAGUGGGCUAUACCACUUAGUAUAGUUCACUACUAUUUUGUGGCCUACAUU